Molecule: long non-coding RNA, 756 nt
Organism: Panicum virgatum (switchgrass)
Lineage: Eukaryota; Viridiplantae; Streptophyta; Magnoliopsida; Poales; Poaceae
Exons: 2
Source: RefSeq, a predicted model, not a curated record
UUACUUUCUCUUUCUUCCUCAUCCAUUCAGCCCAACAGCUUCGUCCGCCCGACUGCUGCCUCCUCUCUCUGUCUCCCUCGUCCGCCGUCACCUCGUCCUCAGCUUGCACCGCCGCUUCCUCCCUCGCGUGCGUGCGCGCGACUGCUGCAGCCAAUGGUGGUGGCCGGUGGCGAGGUGGUCCGGCCGCCAAUGGUGGUGCACCGGCUGGCCACUACUCGAGCUCCAAUGUUUGACAACAUGGGUCAUGAAUGGCAUCAAGCUUCACGCGAUGUGCACUAUGAGAAAGCAAGUGAUGAUGAAGCAACACAAAGUGAGGCAGAAAUUGUAUUUGUGCAAACACCUUCUUGCAAAGCUCCCAAGCGCAAACCAACUCGUAAAUUUCCAAGAUCAAAGUCUAGGGGCAAUGGUACUUGAAGGAAAUCUGAAGAAGAUGUAUCGGUUGGAAGUGAAGGCACAAGGAGAUGAGAUGAUUGAGUAGUCAAAGGUUUGAGCUAGCGAGAGCGAUUUACAGGAUUAUCCCAAUUGACUCGAUUUGGACAGUAACCCUCAUGCUCUACAUCCUUCACAAAGUUUUCUUAUCAUCACUUUAAUAUUCUCAUAAUAUAUGGAGCAUGAGUGCAACUCUUGAGAGAGUACCAAGAUGUGACGCGGAUUUCUUCCCAAAUGAUGUGAAACAUAGUAAAAUGUCUUCAACUAGCAUCUUCAUGAAAGAAAUAGAGAAAUAUCUUAUAUGAAUGUUGAACAUUGGUUUGCUUA